UUACUGGGCUUUAACUGACGCUGAGGCUCGAAAGCGUGGGGAGCAAACAGGAUUAGAUACCCUGGUAGUCCACGCUGUAAACGAUGAUUACUAGGUGUGGGGGACUGACCCCUUCCGUGCCGCAGUUAACACAAUAAGUAAUCCACCUGGGGAGUACGACCGCAAGGUUGAAACUCAAAGGAAUUGACGGGGGCCCGCACAAGCAGUGGAGUAUGUGGAUUAAUUCGAAGCAACGCGAAGAACCUUACCAGGUCUUGACAUCGUAUGCAUAGUGUAGAGAUACAUGAAAUCCCUUCGGGGACAUAUAGACAGGUGGUGCAUGGUUGUCGUCAGCUCGUGUCGUGAGAUGUUGGGUUAAGUCCCGCAACGAGCGCAACCCUUACUGUUAGUUGCUACGCAAGAGCACUCUAGCAGGACUGCCGUUGACAAAACGGAGGAAGGUGGGGAUGACGUCAAAUCAUCAUGCCCCUUAUGACCUGGGCCUCACACGUACUACAAUGGCUAUCAACAAAGUGAAGCGAGACCGCGAGGUGGAGCAAAACACAAAAAAUAGUCUUAGUUCGGAUUGUAGGCUGCAACCCGCCUACAUGAAGUCGGAAUG
RNAcentral lists this ribosomal RNA (601 nucleotides) under uncultured bacterium. Its description in RNAcentral is "bacterial SSU rRNA". It matches the Rfam family "Bacterial small subunit ribosomal RNA", at positions 726 to 1333 of the family's 1533-position model. The record is from RNAcentral.